UUGGAGGGCAAGUCUGGUGCCAGCAGCCGCGGUAAUUCCAGCUCCAAUAGCGUAUAUUAAAGUUGUUGCAGUUAAAAAGCUCGUAGUUGAAUUUCGGGGUUAGUAGGUUGGUCAUGCCUCUGGUAUGUACUGGUCUCACUGAUUCCUCCUUCCUUAUGAACCGUAAUGCCAUUAAUUUGGUGUUGCGGGGAAUUUGGACUGUUACUUUGAAAAAAUUGAGUGUUUAAAGCAAGCUAACGCUUGAAUACAUUAGCAUGGAAUAAUGAAAUAGGACG
Molecule: ribosomal RNA, 275 nt
Filed under: uncultured Glomus
Lineage: Eukaryota; Fungi; Glomeromycota; Glomeromycetes; Glomerales; Glomeraceae
Description: partial 18S ribosomal RNA
Rfam family: Eukaryotic small subunit ribosomal RNA
Source: RNAcentral